This is a regulatory RNA element of Carnobacterium divergens DSM 20623, 105 nucleotides long. It matches the Rfam family "THF (Tetrahydrofolate) riboswitch aptamer". Rfam says of the family: THF riboswitch presents a pseudoknot that joins P1-P2 and the loop of P3 and two THF binding. Lineage: Bacteria; Bacillati; Bacillota; Bacilli; Lactobacillales; Carnobacteriaceae. The record is from Rfam.
AACAGAGUAGGAAAUAAAGCGUUAAGUGCUGAUGGGAUGGGAUGUUGCCCUCAGACGAAAAAUGAUUGAAAAAUCAUUUGCGGUUUUAUUUUUGCAUUCGCUGCA